AGCAGCCGCGGUAAUUCCAGCUCCAAUAGCGUAUGUUAAAGUUGUUGCAGUUAAAAAGCUCGUAGUUGAAUUUCGGGGUCGGUAGAUUGGUCGUGCCUCUGGUAUGCACUGGUCUUACUGGCUCCUCCUUCCUGAUGAACCGUAAUGCCAUUAAUUUGGUGUUGCGGGGAGACUGGACUGUUACUUUGAAAAAAUUAGAGUGUUUAAAGCAGGCUAACGCUUGAAUACAUUAGCAUGGAAUAAUGAAAUAGGACGUUCGAUCUUAUUUUGUUGGUUUCUAAGAUUGACGUAAUGAUUAAUAGGGAUAGUUGGGGGCAUUAGUAUUCAAUUGUCAGAGGUGAAAUUCUUGGAUUUAU
This 356-nucleotide ribosomal RNA is filed under the name uncultured Glomeraceae. Its description in RNAcentral is "SSU rRNA". It matches the Rfam family "Eukaryotic small subunit ribosomal RNA", at positions 569 to 929 of the family's 1831-position model. Lineage: Eukaryota; Fungi; Glomeromycota; Glomeromycetes; Glomerales; Glomeraceae. The record is from RNAcentral.